RNAcentral lists this ribosomal RNA (535 nucleotides) under Trigonopterus pilosipes. RNAcentral's name for it is "partial 16S ribosomal RNA". The record is from RNAcentral. Lineage: Eukaryota; Metazoa; Arthropoda; Insecta; Coleoptera; Curculionidae.
UUACACCGGUUUAAACUCAGAUCAUGUAAAAUUUUAAAGGUCGAACAGACCUAAUAUGAAAGCAUCUUCACCAACAAUAAAUUUUAAUCCAACAUCGAGGUCGCAAUCUUUUUCUUCGAUAAGAACUCUAAAAAAAAUUACGCUGUUAUCCCUAAGGUAAUUUUUUCUAAUAAUCUAAAUUCUAGGAUCAUUUAUUCAUAAAUGAAUGGAUUAAUAAAAAAAAAGUUAAUUCAAUUUUUUUGUCACCCCAACAAAAUAUUUUUUUAACUAAAAUAAUUUUUAAACCAAAAUUUCAUUAAAUUAAAAAAAUAUAAAACUCUAUAGGGUCUUCUCGUCUUCUAUAAAUAUUUAAGCUUUUUGACUUAAAAAUAAAAUUCAAAUUAAUUUUUAUAGAGACAGUAAUUUUCUUAUCCAACCUUUCAUUCCAGCUUUCAAUUAAAAAACUAAUGAUUAUGCUACCUUUGCACGGUUAAUAUACCGCGGCCAUUCAACUCCUCAUUGGGCAGGUUAGACCUAAAAUUAUUAUCAAUAGGCC